GCCUACGGGAGGCAGCAGUAGGGAAUCUUCCACAAUGGGCGAAAGCCUGAUGGAGCAACGCCGCGUGGGUGAAGAAGGUCUUCGGAUCGUAAAACCCUGUUGUUAGAGAAGAAAGUGCGUGAGAGUAACUGUUCACGUUUCGACGGUGUCUAACUAGAAAGCCACGGCUAACUACGUGCCAGCAGCCGCGGUAAUACGUAGGUGGCAAGCGUUAUCCGGAUUUAUUGGGCGUAAAGGGAACGCAGGCGGUCUUUUAAGUCUGAUGUGAAAGCCUUCGGCUUAACCGGAGUAGUGCAUUGGAAACU
Molecule: ribosomal RNA, 305 nt
Filed under: uncultured bacterium
Lineage: Bacteria
Description: bacterial SSU rRNA
Rfam family: Bacterial small subunit ribosomal RNA
Source: RNAcentral